GAUGAACGCUGGCGGCGUGCCUAAUACAUGCAAGUAGAACGCUGAAGGAGGAGCUUGCUCUUCUGGAUGAGUUGCGAACGGGUGAGUAACGCGUAGGUAACCUGCCUGGUAGCGGGGGAUAACUAUUGGAAGCGAUAGCUAAUACCGCAUGACAACAGUUAUUGCAUGAUAACUGUUUAAAAGGGGCAACUGCUCCACUACCAGAUGGACCUGCGUUGUAUUAGCUAGUUGGUGAGGUAACGGCUCACCAAGGCGACGAUACAUAGCCGACCUGAGAGGGUGAUCGGCCACACUGGGACUGAGACACGGCCCAGACUCCUACGGGAGGCAGCAGUAGGGAAUCUUCGGCAAUGGACGGAAGUCUGACCGAGCAACGCCGCGUGAGUGAAGAAGGUUUUCGGAUCGUAAAGCUCUGUUGUAAGAGAAGAACGAGUGUGAGAGUGGAAAGUUCACACUGUGACGGUAUCUUACCAGAAAGGGACGGCUAACUACGUG
This 495-nucleotide ribosomal RNA is filed under the name uncultured bacterium. Its description in RNAcentral is "partial 16S ribosomal RNA". It matches the Rfam family "Bacterial small subunit ribosomal RNA", at positions 28 to 507 of the family's 1533-position model. The record is from RNAcentral.